GACGAACGCUGGCGGCGUGCUUAACACAUGCAAGUCGAACGGAAAGGCCCUGCUUGCAGGGUACUCGAGUGGCGAACGGGUGAGUAACACGUGGGUGAUCUGCCCUGCACUUCGGGAUAAGCUUGGGAAACUGGGUCUAAUACCGGAUAGGAACCAUCUUUAGUGUGGUGGUUGGAAAGUUUUUUCGGUGUAGGAUGAGCUCGCGGCCUAUCAGCUUGUUGGUGGGGUAAUGGCCUACCAAGGCGGCGACGGGUAGCCGGCCUGAGAGGGUGUACGGCCACAUUGGGACUGAGAUACGGCCCAGACGCCUACGGGAGGCAGCAGUGGGGAAUAUUGCACAAUGGGCGCAAGCCGGAUGCAGCGACGCCGCGUGGGGGAUGAAGGCCUUCGGGUUGUAAACUCCUUUCGCUAGGGACGAAGCUUUUUGUGACGGUACCUAGAGAAGAAGCACCGGCUAACUACGUG
This 465-nucleotide ribosomal RNA is filed under the name uncultured bacterium. RNAcentral describes it as "partial 16S ribosomal RNA". It matches the Rfam family "Bacterial small subunit ribosomal RNA", at positions 28 to 507 of the family's 1533-position model. The record is from RNAcentral.